CAGACCAAAUUGGGUUUUGAGUUAAGACAUGAAAUAUGAUGAACUAAAGGAGUAAUUUACAUAUCUGGUGGCUUCUGUAUAUUUUGGAUGACACAGAUGGCUUAGAUUCCCAAUAUUUUCACCUAAGCUGUUUUUACUUACAAACAUCAUUGAAUGGGAGUAGCAGCUUUCAUCUCUUUCGCUCACUUUUAUAUCUAUCUAUGC
RNAcentral lists this long non-coding RNA (204 nucleotides) under Jatropha curcas. RNAcentral's name for it is "long non-coding RNA (JCUR_LNC003449)". Lineage: Eukaryota; Viridiplantae; Streptophyta; Magnoliopsida; Malpighiales; Euphorbiaceae. The record is from RNAcentral.